CAGAUGCUUCAUCGAUGAGAAUAUUAUCAGAAUGUGGGCCCAGUUUCACCUACUUCCCUCCUCUCCCAUGCACGACUCGACUUCCUCUCACUACCAUAGUUGUAAGGGCAUGUUUCAGCUUUAUAGCCCUGUGACGUGUCUGGGUUACUGUAAUAACCCAGACAACAAUAACCCAGAUACUACUUGUCAGUGAGCACUGCACUAAGGUAUGAAGGCGUAACAUGCACAAAAUAGCUACUAGCUUUCCGGAUCCACGUCAAAAUGUCAUUUUGCCUAUCGAUUUAAUAUCCAACAGAAAAACAUAACUGCAGCUGACACCCACGGCAAUCAUGAGCAGCUCCAGGCAGGUACCACCUACAAAAAGGAAAACAACAGCUACAUGUCUGAAACGGAGGAAAAUAAAUGAAGAAAGCUUAAAGUCAUCAGGAACAGCAUUUAUUGGACAGGUUAUAAAGUUUUGGAAAAGUCCCCUGUGGGUGGGAGUUGACAGAAUAGAAGAUUACGUGGAAAAGGUCACAUUCAUGAGGACCGUCUUCUUCCAAAUGCCUUCUUUGAGUCUCAAGCGGUGAAGGACGAAUUACAAACAAAAUUUAAAAUGGCAUUCCACAAUUACAUGUCUCCACCCUGUCAGACUCCAUUUUCCAUUCUUCUGACUUUGGCUGUCAGGAUUUGUGGUCAUGAGGACGAAGAUAAAAUACAAGAAAAUCUUCUAAGUUUCCUGGAAGCAUUGCAAUUGCCCCCCAAAAUAAAAGGCGAGAGUAACUACACAAACUACUACACUCUGGAGGCUACUGUCAUAGCUUUGUGCUACAACGAAACCCCUGGAGCCCUCAGACCAGUGAAGUACUAUGGAGCAUCCCUGUCCUGCAGAGGGGAGAGAGCAAAGAAAAUUAUGAUCAAUCAGUCAUGUCUAAACGUGUGGCAUGACUAUGUGUCUUAUGCAGUGUUGUCAUUCAGACAUGAUGAUCAGGGAAACGGUAUCAGCUUCCCUGGCACCGUAAAAUGCAGAGCAUUCUACAGGAAUCACCAGACCAAUUGUUAUGAAGACCGAAGGCCGUGCAAGAACUGUGGGGAUCUUUUCUCUCUCCCAAACCCUGAGACGGACAAAAAUGACUUUCCCUAUGGAAACUGUGCCGAAACGGAGUGCCUGAGUAACCUUAUUUUCAAAGAUGAGGAUGUCCAGAGCAAAAUGAUUGAGAGAAUCGACUACAUAGGGGAAAACCUGAAAGGUCUUAGAGAAAAGGCAAAAAAAGCUUUGGAACAGUCUAUGGCAACUGUGCCAGAGUCAUAAUGCACAAGUAAAUGGUUUCUGUCAUUCAGAGUUGUGAAUUACAGCUCGGACAAACAAUACAAUUAUUACCACUAAUAACAGACAUAGAAAGCAGCCACCUUGGGAAUACAGUUGUUUUACUUUUUGGUUUGGUCUUUGUGUUUGGUUGUUUACUUUUUAUCUAUUUAUUUUGGGGGAUGUUUAAUUGUAAUAAGCUAUCAACUUUGUCCCUUGUCAAAUAGUCUGCCAUGUGCUUUGUGUCACAGUGGAAAAUGAAUGGAAUUAAAAUGAACACAUUUCUGAUGUGACAGGAAACUGCAGAAAUGGUGUGACACUGAACUUGUUUGAAUGUAUUCAGUGAAACCCCAGCUAAAAGAGUGGACUAAAACAGACAGCACGAUGAAUAUCUAACAUUGUGUUACUUUAUGACACAAACUUAUCUUGUAAAUAUUUUGAAUCCAUCAAUAAAUGAGAAUUGUUAAAAGUU
Oncorhynchus kisutch (coho salmon) is the source of this 1757-nucleotide RNA transcript. RefSeq lists it as uncharacterized. The record is from RefSeq and is a predicted model, not a curated record. The transcript has 6 exons. Lineage: Eukaryota; Metazoa; Chordata; Actinopteri; Salmoniformes; Salmonidae.